RNAcentral lists this ribosomal RNA (450 nucleotides) under uncultured bacterium. RNAcentral's name for it is "partial 16S ribosomal RNA". It matches the Rfam family "Bacterial small subunit ribosomal RNA", at positions 338 to 795 of the family's 1533-position model. The record is from RNAcentral.
CCUAUGGGGGGCUGCAGUAAGGAAUAUUGGACAAUGGGCGCAAGCCUGAUCCAGCCAUGCCGCGUGCAGGAUGACGGCCCUAUGGGUUGUAAACUGCUUUUAUACGGGAAAAAACCCCUCUACGUGUAGAGGGCUGAUGGUACCGUAAGAAUAAGGAUCGGCUAACUCCGUGCCAGCAGCCGCGGUAAUACGGAGGAUCCGAGCGUUAUCCGGAUUUAUUGGGUUUAAAGGGGAUUUGGGCGGAUGUGUUGAAAUCCUGCAGCUUAACUGUAGAACUGCCAUUGAUACUGCAAGUCUUGAGUACAUAUGAUGUGGGCGGAAUGUGUAGUGUAGCGGUGAAAUGCUUAGAUAUUACACAGAACACCAAUUGCGAAGGCAGCUCACAAAACUGUAACUGACGCUGAGGCACGAAAGCGUGGGGAGUGAACAGGAUUAGAUACCCUAGUAGUC